CCCUUAGAUGUUCUGGGCCGCACACGCGCUACACUGAAGGAGGCAGCGUGUACUCCUGGAUCGAAAGAUUUGGGUAACCCGCAAAUCUCCUUCGUGCUAGGGAUUGAGGUUUGCAAUUAUCCUUCAUGAACGAGGAAUUCCCAGUAAGUGCAAGUCAUAAGCUUGCGCUGACUACGUCCCUGCCCUUUGUACACACCGCCCGUCGCUACUACCGAUUGAAUGAUUUAGUGAGGACUUCGGACUGGGACCGAUGCGGCUUUCGGGCUGCGUCGGUAUUCUGGAAAGAUGUCCAAACUGUAUCAUUUAGAGGAAGUAAAAGUCGUAACA
RNAcentral lists this ribosomal RNA (327 nucleotides) under uncultured eukaryote. Its description in RNAcentral is "partial 18S ribosomal RNA". It matches the Rfam family "Eukaryotic small subunit ribosomal RNA", at positions 1470 to 1796 of the family's 1831-position model. The record is from RNAcentral.